CGGACGGGUGAGUAACGCGUGGAUAACCUGCCCCAUACCGGGGGAUAACAGCCGGAAACGGCUGCUAAUACCGCAUAAGCGCACGGGAAUGCAUGUUUCUGUGUGAAAAACUCCGGUGGUAUGGGAUGGAUCCGCGUCUGAUUAGCUGGUUGGCGGGGUAGAGGCCCACCAAGGCGACGAUCAGUAGCCGACCUGAGAGGGUGGCCGGCCACAUUGGGACUGAGACACGGCCCAGACUCCUACGGAAGGCAGCAG
RNAcentral lists this ribosomal RNA (255 nucleotides) under uncultured bacterium. Its description in RNAcentral is "partial 16S ribosomal RNA". It matches the Rfam family "Bacterial small subunit ribosomal RNA", at positions 99 to 354 of the family's 1533-position model. The record is from RNAcentral.